This 3675-nucleotide unclassified non-coding RNA is filed under the name Mizuhopecten yessoensis (Yesso scallop). Its description in RNAcentral is "organic cation transporter protein-like, transcript variant X3". Lineage: Eukaryota; Metazoa; Mollusca; Bivalvia; Pectinida; Pectinidae. The record is from RNAcentral.
ACCGUCUCUAUCUCUUUGCUCAUACCCAAAUCGACAACUCUUUCCACAACCAUGCAAGAUGACGGCAUGCUCAAGAAAGAACGAGCUUACAUAAAAUCUAAGGCCGAAAUUGCAGACAUGCAUUUUGACGAGUUGCUACAGAUUGUGAAUGGAUUUGGCCCCUACCAGAAACUACGACUGUUCCUGAUAUGUUUGGUUGGUAUUGUAUGUGCGUUCCAUGCAAUGAAUAUGGUGUUUGUUGGAGCUAAACCCGACUAUCAAUGCAAGAUUGGUGCUAUGAACCUUUCUGAAAGUGACGGUUUCGUUAACACAAGUUUCACACAAUGGAUGAAUUUUUUAAGAGCCAAAGGAGACGGAUGUGAGAUGUAUAACCCAACACAGGCAUACAAUAUGAUCGCCAACGGAACUCUGGCCAUCCGGGGGUCCGAAGUCACGGGGGAUUCUAACUUGCCCUUGGAGACCUGCACGGAAUGGGAGUACUCGGAAGAUGUAUACGGGCCGACCAUCGUAUCUGACUUUGACCUGGUUUGUAGUCAGGCAUGGCUCCGAAGUACAUCGAAGACAUUCUACUUCUUAGGUCGUCUCCUUGGGGCAGUCAUAUUCGGACAGCUCUCAGAUAUAUUUGGGAGGAAGCCAAUGUUCUUUUUCGGUCUACUGUUCCUACUGAUAGCCGGAUGUGUUGCAGCUGUAGCGCCCUCUAUGGCGGUGUUCAUUCCAUUUUAUAUCCUACAGGGGGCAGCACAGACCGGCCUCUUUCUGGUUGCGUAUACAAUGUGUACAGAAUUGGUGGCACCAAAAUAUCGACUGAUGGCUGGGUUUAUGAUACAGAGUUUCUACAGUGUGGGGUACAUGACCCUGUCUCUGAUGGCCUACUUUAUCCGACACUGGCGCUACAUUGAGGUUGCCAUCACCGUUCCCGUGGCCCUGUUUGCAGCCUACUGGUGGUGUCUUCCAGAAUCUGUCCGCUGGUUGCUUUCCAAGAACAAGAUUGAGGAGGCCAGGGUGAUCAUGAAAAAAGUAGCUAAGACCAAUAAAGUAGUUCUUACCGACAACAUGAUGGAGAAUUUAACCGAUAAAAAAGACCAACCGGAAGUUCCCGAAGACAGGAAGUACACCUUUCUUGACUUGCUGCGACCUUUUCCAAUGUUUUUACUAUCCAUCAACGUUUGGUUUAAUUGGUUGAUCAACGCUAUGGUGUACUACGGUCUGUCACUGGGUACAGAUAACCUGGGAGGCGAUCCCUACAUCAACUUCUGUAUAGCCGGGGCUGUGGAGAUCCCAGCCUAUGUCCUCUGUGUCAUCUUCCUCAACAGGCUGGGUAGGCGCUGGCCCCUCUGUGGAACCAUGCUUGCGGGAGGGAUAUCGUGUAUCAUAUCUGGAUUUAUCCCUAAUGACAUGGUAGCAGUAAAGGUCACAUUCGCAAUGUUGGGAAAGUUCGGAAUUACAGCAUCAUACGGUAUAAUCUACUUGAUGGCAGCCGAGGUGUUCCCAACGGUUGUCAGAAAUGCUGGUAUGGGCGUAUCCUCCAUGUGUGCACGUAUUGGGGGAAUGUUGGCCCCCCAGAUGUUGGAGUUGAAACAGGUUUGGGGCCCACUGCCGCUCAUCCUCUUUGGUGGUCUGUCGAUCCUGGCCGGCGGACUCGCCUUGUUACUUCCGGAGACUGCGGGGAAACCCCUUCCCCAAACCAUCGAGGAUUGUCUUAACAACCGGUCAAAGAAAGUUACGAAAGAUUUAGAGACAACUGAGAAGAUUAAUUUACAGGAAAAACUAUAGUAUCUAAUCAAUACUAGAAUUUAAAUAUUUUAUUUAUAUAUAUAUGACUGUACUGACAGAUAUAUAACAAGACUUUGAUAGAUGAGCUUCAGUUUAAAAAACCCCAAUGAAUAACAAAAUCACGAGAUGAUUUGUUCCGUGGAGUUUAUCUGGAAUUGAAGAAAUAAUUAGGCAAAUAUCCAUUACGAUGCCUUUAAAAAUGGACUUUUACUUGUAUUCUUCAAAUUGUAAAUUAAAAUGUAAUUUACUAGCUUUAUGCACGACGCCAACGAAAAAGUAAAUCAUAGUAACUUAUAUAUAAAACAACUUCCAAGAUAACAGCGUAAGUACAAUUGUAAAUUCCUUUGAUCAAUUACUCUUUCCAAACGUUCUCAUAAUGUGCUAUAAUUUAUGUUCUCAUUUUUCGCUAUAAUUUAUGUUCUCAUUUUUCGCUAUACUUUAUGCUCUCAUUUUUCGCUAUAAUUUAUGUUCUCAUUUUCCGCUAUAAUUGAUGUUUUUAUGGUGUGCUAUAGUUUAUGUUUUUCUAGUUUGGUAUGAUUCAUAUUAACAUGAUGUGAUAUAAUUUAUGUUCUCGAUCGUUUGCUGUCAUUAUUCUCUAUACUUCCUCCAAAAUGAAGAUUACAUAAACAUAGUUAUAUAUAAGAAUUAAUCAACACAUAUACAUACAUGGACGUUGAAAAAGUACAAACGUAUUGUUAUUUUAAUGUGUACAUAAAUAUUUUAUAAGAGAAGGGAUUGUACAUUGUAAGGGCAUCAUUGCUUUAAUAAACAAUCAGACGAUUUGCACUAAUCUUAAUUGUUCAUAAUCUUCAAAUGACAGCUUAUAACUUAAUUCACUACCCAAUAGGGUAUUAGUCAAAUCGAAAUCUGGUAAAUUAUGCAAAUAAACAUUGAGUUGUAUAUCACAUAUACUUCAGUAAUUAAAUGACACCACACUUUGUCUCUUACUUCAGUACUGUUAUCACAAUGUAUAUCAUCGGUCUUUCACGUGCAUAAAACCGCACAGACCUCUAUAUGUAUGAGUGUGUACGUGCUGGAGGAUAUCACGUGAUCUCUAUGAGUACCUCUAUAUGUAUGAAGGUGUAUGUGCUGGAGGAUAUCACGUGAUCUCUAUGAGUACCUCUAUAUGUAUGAGUGUGUACGUGCUGGAGGAUAUCACGUGAUCUCUAUGAGUACCUAUAUAUUUAUGAGUGUGUACGUGCUGGAGGUUAUCAAGUGAUCUCUAUGAGUACCUCUAUAUGUUUGAGGGUGUACGUGCUGGAGGAUAUCACGUGAUCUCUAUGAGUACCUAUAUAUUUAUGAGUGUGUACGUGCUGGAGGUUAUCACGUGAUCUCUAUGAGUACCUCUAUAUGUUUGAGGGUGUACGUUCUGGAGGUUAUCACGUGAUCUCUAUGAGUACCUCUAUAUGUUUGAGGGUGUACGUGCUGGAGGAUAUCACGUGAUCUCUAUGAGUACCUCUAUAUGUAUGAGGGUGUACGUGCUGGAGGUUAUCACAGGAUCUCUUUCUAUAUUUAUGAGGUCGUAUGUGCGCAAGGUUGAAUAUUUGUUUUGGUUGUUGCAACUUGUUAAGGAGAAUACUAUCGUCUAAUAAGAUAGAAUUAUUUGGCGGGGAUAACAUUUUCAGAAUGACUAAAGAAGGAUUAGUUAGAAGUUCAUUUUCUUUAACACUUUUUGGAAAGAAAUUUUAUAUGGUCAUCAAUUGUAGAAAAUAAACCACCCACAACCCCACAACAAAUUGUUUCCCAACCUAUCUGGUAUAAUGACAGUAUUAAAAUAGAUAGAAGACCUACUUUUUAUAGACAGUGGUGUUUAAAAGGAGUUUUCUUUAUUAACGAUCUUGUAAUAAAUAACAGUUUUAUGUCUUUUGAAUGAAAUGUUCACAGAAAAAUAUGAUAUUGAUA